This 276-nucleotide ribosomal RNA is filed under the name uncultured bacterium. RNAcentral describes it as "partial 16S ribosomal RNA". It matches the Rfam family "Bacterial small subunit ribosomal RNA", at positions 70 to 339 of the family's 1533-position model. The record is from RNAcentral.
UAACAGGGAAAAGCUUGCUUUUCCGCUGACGACCGGCGCACGGGUGCGUAACACGUAUGCAACCUACCUCUUACUGAAGGACAGCCCAGAGAAAUUUGGAUUAAUACUUCAUAACACCACAAGAUCGCAUGAUCUCAUGGUUAAAGGUUACGGUAAGAGAUGGGCAUGCGUCCUAUUAGUUUGUUGGUGAGGUAAUGGCUCACCAAGACUACGAUAGGUAGGGGGUCCUGAGAGGAUUAUCCCCCCACACUGGUACUGAGACACGGACCAGACUCC